RNAcentral lists this small nucleolar RNA (97 nucleotides) under Gossypium arboreum. Its description in RNAcentral is "Plant small nucleolar RNA R71". It matches the Rfam family "Plant small nucleolar RNA R71". Rfam says of the family: R71 is a member of the C/D box family of snoRNAs containing the C (UGAUGA) and D (CUGA) box motifs. Multiple nearly identical copies of this snoRNA have been identified in Arabidopsis, and it is thought to function as a 2'-O-ribose methylation guide for 18S ribosomal RNA. The record is from Rfam by way of RNAcentral. Lineage: Eukaryota; Viridiplantae; Streptophyta; Magnoliopsida; Malvales; Malvaceae.
AACCUAUGGUGAGGGCACCUUCUCAAAAGGUCCUUGUAUCUCUCCCAUGCAUCGUAGAAUCCAUCUGUACAAAAGAAGAGAUAUCAUUACGUAAUUU